CGGAGAGGGAGCCUGAGAGACGGCUACCACAUCUAAGGAAGGCAGCAGGCGCGCAAAUUACCCAAUCCUAACUCAGGGAGGUAGUGACAAGAAAUAACAACGCGGGGCUUUGUCUUGCGAUUGGAAUGAGUUAAGUGUAAAAGCCUUUUCGAGGACCCACUGGAGGGCAAGUCUGGUGCCAGCAGCCGCGGUAAUCCCAGCUCCAAUAGCGUAUAUUAAAGUUGUUGCAGUUAAAAAGCUCGUAGUUGAAGCUCUGCGGGGCGGGUCGCUGGGCCUCGGUCUGGUGACCUUCCUCGCAUCCAUCUGAGCAACGGCUCCGGCAUUAACUUGUCGCUGUCGUGAUCAGGUACUUUACCUUGAGCAAAUGAGAGUGUUCCAGGCAGGCUUGGGCCUGAAUCGUCCAGCAUGGAAUAAUAGAAGAGGACUGGGCUCCAUUUAUUGGUGUUAUGGCGCUUAGUAAUGAUUAAUAGGGAUAGUUGGGGGCAUUUGUAUUUAAUUGUCAGAGGUGAAAUUCUAUGAUUUAUUAAAGACAAACUUAUGCGAAAGCAUUUGCCAAGGAUGAUUUC
This 566-nucleotide ribosomal RNA is filed under the name Conticribra weissflogii. Its description in RNAcentral is "partial Eukaryotic small subunit ribosomal RNA". It matches the Rfam family "Eukaryotic small subunit ribosomal RNA", at positions 384 to 971 of the family's 1831-position model. Lineage: Eukaryota; Bacillariophyta; Thalassiosirophyceae; Thalassiosirales; Thalassiosiraceae. The record is from RNAcentral.